UCCUACGGGGGGCAGCAGUGGGGAAUAUUGGACAAUGGGGGAAACCCUGAUCCAGCGACGCCGCGUGUGUGAAGAAGGCCUGCGGGUUGUAAAGCACUUUCGGUGGGAACGAAAUGUGCCGACCUAAUACGUCGGCAAGCUGACGUUACUCAAUGAAGAAGCACCGGCUAACUCUGUGCCAGCAGCCGCGGUAAUACAGAGGGUGCAAGCGUUAAUCGGAAUUACUGGGCGUAAAGCGCACGUAGGCGGCUAUGUAAGUCGGAUGUGAAAUCCCCGGGCUUAACCUGGGAACCGCAUUCGAGACUGCAUAGCUCGAGUACUGGAGAGGACAGCGGAAUUCCAGGUGUAGCGGUGAAAUGCGUAGAUAUCUGGAGGAACAUCAGUGGCGAAGGCGGCUGUCUGGCCAAGUACUGACGCUCAGGUGCGAAAGCGUGGGGAGCAAACAGGAUUAGAUACCCUGGUAGG
RNAcentral lists this ribosomal RNA (465 nucleotides) under uncultured bacterium. Its description in RNAcentral is "bacterial SSU rRNA". It matches the Rfam family "Bacterial small subunit ribosomal RNA", at positions 337 to 794 of the family's 1533-position model. The record is from RNAcentral.